Molecule: non-coding RNA, 192 nt
Organism: Chelonia mydas (Green sea turtle)
Lineage: Eukaryota; Metazoa; Chordata; Testudines; Cheloniidae
Source: Rfam
AUCACUUCUCAGCCUUUUGGCUAAGAUCAAACAUAGAAGCUAUUACCAGAUUAAUAGCUGAUACAUCCCCUGCACGGGGGCAGUAUUUGAGGCAGUUUUUCCUAGUGGAUAGAGCACAGGCCUGGGACUUGGAGAUCUGGUUUCUAUUCCCAGCUUUGCCACUGGAAUGUUGGGCGACCUUGGGCAAGUCAU